This 277-nucleotide ribosomal RNA is filed under the name Clostridioides difficile. RNAcentral describes it as "partial 23S ribosomal RNA". It matches the Rfam family "Bacterial large subunit ribosomal RNA", at positions 1148 to 1433 of the family's 2925-position model. Lineage: Bacteria; Bacillati; Bacillota; Clostridia; Peptostreptococcales; Peptostreptococcaceae. The record is from RNAcentral.
GUCGAGUGAUCCGGCGCCGAAGAUUUCCGGGGCUAAAACUUACUACCGAAGCUACGGCAUCAGUAAUGAUGGGUAGGGGAGCUUCCCAUACGGGUUGAAGCAUGACCGUAAGGACAUGUGGACAGUAGGGGAGUGAGAAUGUUGGCAUGGGUAGCGAGAUGUGGGUGAGAAUCCCACAGGCCGUAAACCCAAGGUUUCCAGGGGAAGGUUCGUCCGCCCUGGGUUAGUCGGGACCUAAGCUGAGGCCGAAAGGCGUAGGUGAUGGACAACAGGUUGA